This 65-nucleotide transfer RNA is filed under the name Ptilodactylidae sp. 2 ACP-2013. RNAcentral's name for it is "tRNA-Pro". Lineage: Eukaryota; Metazoa; Arthropoda; Insecta; Coleoptera; Ptilodactylidae. The record is from RNAcentral.
AAGAAGUAGUUUAAUUAAAAUAUUAAUUUUGGAGAUUAAUGAUAAAUUUAUAAUUUCUUUUUGAU